AUACGGAGGGUGCGAGCGUUGUUCGGAAUUAUUGGGCGUAAAGAGCAUGUAGGCGGUCUGUUAAGUCUGGUGUGAAAGCCCGGGGCUCAACCCCGGAAGUGCAUUGGAUACUGGCAGACUUGAGUAUGGGAGAGGAAAGCGGAAUUCCGAGUGUAGGAGUGAAAUCCGUAGAUAUUCGGAGGAACACCAGUGGCGAGGGCGGCUUUCUGGACCAAUACUGACGCUGAGAUGCGAAAGCGUGGGGAGCGAACAGGAUUAGAAACCCCAGUAGUCC
This 274-nucleotide ribosomal RNA is filed under the name uncultured bacterium. RNAcentral's name for it is "partial 16S ribosomal RNA". It matches the Rfam family "Bacterial small subunit ribosomal RNA", at positions 523 to 796 of the family's 1533-position model. The record is from RNAcentral.